Molecule: ribosomal RNA, 468 nt
Filed under: uncultured bacterium
Lineage: Bacteria
Description: partial 16S ribosomal RNA
Rfam family: Bacterial small subunit ribosomal RNA
Source: RNAcentral
GACGAACGCUGGCGGCGUGCUUAACACAUGCAAGUCGAACGGAAAGGCCCUGCUUGUUUGGGGUGCUCGAGUGGCGAACGGGUGAGGAACACGUGAGUAACCUGCCCUUGACUUUGGGAUAACUUCAGGAAACUGGGGCUAAUACCGGAUAGGAGCUCCUGCUGCAUGGUGGGGGGUGGAACGUUUCGGCGGUUGGGGAUGGACUGGCGGCUUAUCAGCUUGUUGGUUGGGUAGUGGCUGACCAAGGCAUUGACGGGUAGCCGGCCUGAGAGGGUGACCGGCCACAUUACGCCUGAGAUACGGCCCAGAGUCGUACGGUAGGCAGUGGUGGGGAGUAUUACACAGUGGGCGGGAGCGUGAUGCAGCAACGCCGCGUGCGGGAUGCCGGCUUUCGGGUUGUAAACCGCUGUCGCCUGUGACGAAGCGUGAGUGACGGUAAUGGGUAAAGAAGCACCGGCUAACUACGUG